This 468-nucleotide ribosomal RNA is filed under the name uncultured bacterium. Its description in RNAcentral is "bacterial SSU rRNA". It matches the Rfam family "Bacterial small subunit ribosomal RNA", at positions 329 to 796 of the family's 1533-position model. The record is from RNAcentral.
UUCCAGACUCCUACGGGAGGCAGCAGUGAGGAAUAUUGGUCAAUGGGCUUACGCCUGAACCAGCCAAGUCGCGUGAGGGAAGACUGCCCUAUGGGUUGUAAACCUCUUUUGUCAGGGAGCAACGCCGGCUACGUGUAGCCGGACUGAGAGUACCUGAAGAAAAAGCAUCGGCUAACUCCGUGCCAGCAGCCGCGGUAAUACGGAGGAUGCGAGCGUUAUCCGGAUUUAUUGGGUUUAAAGGGUGCGUAGGCGGAAUGCCAAGUCGGCGGUAAAAUCGCGGGGCUCAACCCCGGCGAGCCGUUGAAACUGGCGGGCUGGAGUUGGAGAGAAGUACGCGGAAUGCGCGGUGUAGCGGUGAAAUGCUUAGAUAUCGCGCAGAACCCCGAUUGCGAAGGCAGCGUACCGGCUCCACACUGACGCUGAGGCACGAAAGCGUGGGUAUCGAACAGGAUUAGAUACCCGAGUACC